AGCAGAACACUCCGGCCUGAGAGAGCAGCAGUAGCAUGUCUUCACGGCCAGAUAAGAAAAGGAACAAAGGCAUUGUUGGUCAAGCCAGAGUAGGGUCAAACAGGUACCUGCUCAGUGUCUGCCCUUGCGCAGUGGGAACCAGAGAAGAGUGCAAAUAACCUGAGGGUACCAGAAAGCGAAGGAAAAGAAGAGGAGCAACAUGGCCAAGUCCAGUGCAAGAAACUGCCUUCGGGGAUUUCCCACACCGAGCUUUGUGACUGACGUUGCAGCCUGCUUUCCCAGAGCCACAGCCAGAAGAGGACAAGAGAGCCCUGACUGGGCUGGCACUUCAUUCACUCUUUCUGGGAAGUGCAAAGAUGUGGAGACAGUGUCAGUUCCGUCUGGCAGCAUCAGUCGUUCUGAGCUUGGUCUUGGUUUAUCGGCUUUUAUUCCGUCUCUCACCUAACCCCAGCUUUCUGUACCCAACACCAGUGCCUCCCUGAAAGCCUCCCAGGUGGACACUACCCUGCUGCCUGCUUCUGUGGGCGGGAAGGAUAACACUACAUGCUUUGCUGCCCUUUACGGGGCUCCCCAAAUCCUGGUGUUUCAGUUACCUGGAGACAAGGCAGCUGGCAGGAAUUCUGUGAGAGAGGGGCGGGAAAUUAGGAGAAUGAAAGUCAAGGAAGAUCCCUGGUGGAAACUGAGAGAAAAGUGACCAGACUGAAGCUUGUCUAGACUUUUGAGUAACACGUUGGCUAAUGUUUCGCCUGUCCUGAAUCACCCUGGCAUUACCAACAAAGAAUAAUGCAUGAUCCUUCUUGAAGUAAAAGGAAUUUAGUAACACUUCACAGAAAAUUCUACUGUAAAU
Bos taurus (domestic cattle) is the source of this 847-nucleotide long non-coding RNA. Lineage: Eukaryota; Metazoa; Chordata; Mammalia; Artiodactyla; Bovidae. The record is from Ensembl.